Molecule: ribosomal RNA, 1116 nt
Filed under: Triticum aestivum (bread wheat)
Lineage: Eukaryota; Viridiplantae; Streptophyta; Magnoliopsida; Poales; Poaceae
Description: partial small subunit ribosomal RNA
Source: RNAcentral
UUACGAACAGAUGACAACGGCUGGUACAUCAAAGAGCAUAGGAUGGCACACAACCACUCUUUGACUCCAAGGUGUAGACAGAAGGUACUCUGGCCAUCCCACAAACAUCUAGAUCUGAACACAAAGGACUUGGUACGUCAGCUGAGGGGGGACGACACAUACAUCAGCAAAGUUGACGACACUAUAUGAAGUUUCUCCGGAACCAGGGAGAAUGUGCCAUGUACUAAUUGUAUGUUUAGGAACCUGCGUAGUCAAAGUAGCAUAGAUCAAGCAGAUGAUGAAGUUAGGAAGACAAUUGAAGUCUUUGCAGACAUAGGAGCUAAGAAUCCGGAUUUCAUGUUUGUGGUGCAAGAAGAUACCGAGAGUCAGAUAAAGAACCUCAUGUGGACCAAUGGGCGGAGCAGAAUGAAGUACAAGUACUUUGGAGAUGUUAUCACGUUCGACACCACUUACAGAAGUAACUUGUACGACAUGUCAUUUGGACUAUUUAUAGGCGUGAACGACCACUUUCAGAGCAUCAUCUUGGCUGGAGUGUUGCUUAGAGACGAGCAGGUAGAGAGCUUUGAAUGGGUUUUCACGGAAUUCAUAAGAAUGAUGGGUGGUGAAGCACCAAAGACAAUUCUGACAGAUCAGAAUCAAGCAAUGGAGGUGGCCAUAAAGGAUGUGAUGCCAAACACAGCCCACCGAUGGUGCAAAUGGCACAUCUUGAAGAAAGCAGAAGAGUGCCUUGGACCCCUAUACACAAAACGGAAUGGUUUCCGAGCAGAAUUCCAUAAGGUCAUCAACCACACAGUCACAAUAGAUGAUUUUGAGCCAGCAUGGGGGAUGUUGAUUCACAAGUACAACUUAAGGUCACAUCCGCACAUGACACAACUUUACGAAACCAGGAAAAAAUGGGUAAAGCCAUAUUUCAAGGGGGUGUUUUGUGCCAAGAUGAUGAGUACUCAAAGGAGCGAGACUGCCAACAGUUUGCUGAAGAAAUAUGUACCACCUGCAUGUCCGAUGCAUAUGUUCGUGAAGCAAUACAUGCACUUGAAGUUUGACCAGGACACAAACGAAGCCUAUGAAGAGAAAUGGACCCUGAUUGUAAGAAACUAUAUUUCUCAUAAGAUAUAA